This is a long non-coding RNA of Cyanistes caeruleus (blue tit), 262 nucleotides long. RefSeq lists it as uncharacterized. The record is from RefSeq and is a predicted model, not a curated record. Lineage: Eukaryota; Metazoa; Chordata; Aves; Passeriformes; Paridae.
GUAAAAGAGAAAGAUUUUUAAUUACUAGAAGGCAAGAUGCAAGGAAAAAGGCAAGAACACAGGGGAUAUGGUACCAUGGACUUAUUUCUCAUGCCUUUCUAAAUAUCAUCAUUAGAUUCUUAGUUAUGACUCAAAAGAUUUGAAGUCAGUUUGCUGAGAAAGCAGGCUUUUCAUUCCUUUGAACAAGGGAGACAGGAUGGCAUCAAGAGGUUCUUCAAGGCCUGUGAAAACAUAGGAUUAUCGCAACGUGGGGUUGAGCCUG